RNAcentral lists this ribosomal RNA (878 nucleotides) under Leptonia cf. striatula. RNAcentral's name for it is "eukaryotic LSU rRNA". It matches the Rfam family "Eukaryotic large subunit ribosomal RNA", at positions 77 to 942 of the family's 3401-position model. Lineage: Eukaryota; Fungi; Basidiomycota; Agaricomycetes; Agaricales; Entolomataceae. The record is from RNAcentral.
UCCCUAGUAACUGCGAGUGAAGCGGGAAAAGCUCAAAUUUAAAAUCUGGUGGUCUUUGACUACCCGAGUUGUAAUCUAGAGAAGCGUUAUCCGCGCUGGACCGUGUACAAGUCUCCUGGAAUGGAGCGUCAUAGAGGGUGAGAAUCCCGUCUUUGACACGGACUCCCAGGGCUUUGUGAUGCGCUCUCAAAGAGUCGAGUUGUUUGGGAAUGCAGCUCUAAAUGGGUGGUAAGUUCCAUCUAAAGCUAAAUAUUGGCGAGAGACCGAUAGCGAACAAGUACCGUGAGGGAAAGAUGAAAAGAACUUUGGAAAGAGAGUUAAACAGUACGUGAAAUUGUUGAAAGGGAAACGCUUAAAGUCAGUCGCAUUGGCUCAGGGAUCAACCUUGCUUUUGCUUGGUGCACUUCCUGGUUAAUGGGUCAGCAUCAAUUUUGACCAAUGGAAAAAGUUUGAGGGAAUGUGGCAUCUUCGGAUGUGUUAUAGCCCUUGGUCGUAUACAUUGGUUGGGAUUGAGGAACUCAGCACGCCGCAAGGCCGGGAUAUACCACGUUCGUGCUUAGGAUGCUGGCAUAAUGGCUUUAAUCGACCCGUCUUGAAACACGGACCAAGGAGUCUAACAUACCUGCGAGUGUUUGGGUGGAAAACCCGAGCGCGUAAUGAAAGUGAAAGUUGGGAUCCCUGUCGCGGGGAGCACCGACGCCCGGACCAGACCUUCUGUGACGGAUCCGCGGUAGAGCAUGUAUGUUGGGACCCGAAAGAUGGUGAACUAUGCCUGAAUAGGGUGAAGCCAGAGGAAACUCUGGUGGAGGCUCGUAGCGAUUCUGACGUGCAAAUCGAUCGUCGAUUUUGGGUAUAGGGGCGAAAGACUAAUCGAACCA